RNAcentral lists this ribosomal RNA (492 nucleotides) under uncultured bacterium. RNAcentral describes it as "partial 16S ribosomal RNA". It matches the Rfam family "Bacterial small subunit ribosomal RNA", at positions 29 to 507 of the family's 1533-position model. The record is from RNAcentral.
AGUGAACGCUGGCGGUAGGCCUAACACAUGCAAGUCGAACGGCAGCACAGUAAGAGCUUGCUCUUACGGGUGGCGAGUGGCGGACGGGUGAGGAAUACAUCGGAAUCUACUUUUUCGUGGGGGAUAACGUAGGGAAACUUACGCUAAUACCGCAUACGACCUACGGGUGAAAGCAGGGGAUCUUCGGACCUUGCGCGAUUGAAUGAGCCGAUGUCGGAUUAGCUAGUUGGCGGGGUAAAGGCCCACCAAGGCGACGAUCCGUAGCUGGUCUGAGAGGAUGAUCCGCCAAAAUGGAACUGAGACACGGUCCAGACUCCUACGGGAGGCAGCAGUGGGGAAUAUUGGACAAUGGGCGAAAGCCUGAUCCAGCCAUACCGCGUGGGUGAAGAAGGCCUUCGGGUUGUAAAGCCCUUUUGUUGGGAAAGAAAAGCAGCAGGUUAAUACCCCGCUGUUCUGACGGUACCCAAAGAAUAAGCACCGGCUAACUUCGUG